AAAAUGAAGCUGAGGGUGGAGUCCCAUCUUUAAAAACUAAACAGGCAUUUUGGACAACACAUUCUUGGCAAGGUAAUCUGGAUGACAUUUAUCAGACACUGUAGGGAAAGCUCUUUCAGCAUUUGUAAAAAGAACAGCCAAAUAAUGGUUACAGAAGUAAGACUGCAGACUUUAACAAACUGUUUAAAUUGUUCUCUUACAGAGUCUGUCUCCACUGCCAGAGAGCUUGAAUGACCUUUUGGUCCUCCGUCCUGAAGCAAUUCUUAACAUAGUUGGCAAAUUUGGGCUCCAGCUUAGGAAGGGAACAACCCUUGUCUACGGAGGCCUGCAUUUUUGCUUUGAUCUCCUCUAACGACAGAGGAACUUUCGGUGUUUUUGGAGUUAGAGAUUUGUCCUUCUUGGAAUCUGGAGUUUUUGUUUUAGAUGCUGGUGUGGACGGCUUUGAGUCUUUUCCAUUUUGCUUUGCUUUCUGCAUAUUUUUUCCUGCAGGCUCGCGGGCAGGUUUCUUCAUUGGUGUUUUAAUCUCCUCCUCAUCAUCAUCCAAGUCGUCUUCAUCAUCCUCAUCAUCAUCCUCAUCUUCAUCAUCGUCCUCAUCAUCUUCUGAUAAUUUUGGUUUUUCUGUGGUGUUUUAGCUCCUCCUCCACUUGCUGGUCUCUUUGUUGAAGCAUUCCCUAUUUUUGUAUCCUCCUCCUCAUCCUCUGAUUCUGGCUCUUCCUCUAAUGCUACAAGAUGCUGACCACUGACAUAAACAGGCCCCGAACCACAUUUUAACCUCAGGACAACUGGUGGUGUGAUCUCAAAUCCACCUAGUGAAACUGUAGGCUGCACAGACAUUUUCAGAGAUGCCAGUACUACUUUAGUUGGGUUGCCUUCGUAGUCCAGUGCUUCUGCUUCUACAACAUGUAAUUCGUCUUUGGCUCCAGCCCCUAAUGUAACCGUUCUCAAGGACAGCUGAUGCUCGUUUUCCUCAUCAUCUACUUUGAACUGAUAUUCCUUCUCUGCUUUAAGCUCGCAGCCGAAGAGGAAGGUCUGCGGGCGCAGCGGGCCCAUGCUCUCCAUGUCCAUGGCGCUGUCCUCCAUCUUCUCGGCCUGCUCGCGCGGGAGGAGCUGUACGGGAUGCGGCGCUGCGGACGGACGCGCACUAAAG
Molecule: long non-coding RNA, 1147 nt
Filed under: Gallus gallus (chicken)
Lineage: Eukaryota; Metazoa; Chordata; Aves; Galliformes; Phasianidae
Source: RNAcentral